This 31-nucleotide non-coding RNA is filed under the name Mus musculus (house mouse). Lineage: Eukaryota; Metazoa; Chordata; Mammalia; Rodentia; Muridae. The record is from RNAcentral.
UCUCUUCUAGAAGUGUCUAUUAUAUUAAUGA